AUUGAACGCUGGCGGCAUGCCUUACACAUGCAAGUCGAACGGUAACAGGUCUUCGGAUGCUGACGAGUGGCGAACGGGUGAGUAAUACAUCGGAACGUGCCUAGUAGUGGUGGAUAACUACUCGAAAGAGUGGCUAAUACCGCAUGAGAUCUACGGAUGAAAGCAGGGGAUCGCAAGACCUUGUGCUACUGGAACGGCCGAUGGCAGAUUAGGUAGUUGGUGGGAUAAAAGCUUACCAAGCCGACGAUCUGUAGCUGGUCUGAGAGGACGAUCAGCCACACUGGGACUGAGACUCGGCCCAGACUCCUACGGGAGGCAGCAGUGGGGAAUUUUGGACAAUGGGCGCAAGCCUGAUCCAGCAAUGCCGCGUGCAGGAUGAAGGCCUUCGGGUUGUAAACUGCUUUUGUACGGAACGAAAAGCCCUGGGUUAAUACCCUGGGGUCAUGACGGUACCGUAAGAAUAAGCACCGGCUAACUACGUGCCAGCCGCCGCGGUAA
Molecule: ribosomal RNA, 498 nt
Filed under: uncultured bacterium
Lineage: Bacteria
Description: partial 16S ribosomal RNA
Rfam family: Bacterial small subunit ribosomal RNA
Source: RNAcentral